AUGGGAUUAGCUAGUAGGUGGGGUAACGGCUCACCUAGGCGACGAUCCCUAGCUGGUCUGAGAGGAUGACCAGCCACACUGGAACUGAGACACGGUCCAGACUCCUACGGGAGGCAGCAGUGGGGAAUAUUGCACAAUGGGCGCAAGCCUGAUGCAGCCAUGCCGCGUGUAUGAAGAAGGCCUUCGGGUUGUAAAGUACUUUCAGCGGGGAGGAAGGGAGUAAAGUUAA
RNAcentral lists this ribosomal RNA (229 nucleotides) under Escherichia coli. RNAcentral's name for it is "partial 16S ribosomal RNA". It matches the Rfam family "Bacterial small subunit ribosomal RNA", at positions 235 to 463 of the family's 1533-position model. Lineage: Bacteria; Pseudomonadati; Pseudomonadota; Gammaproteobacteria; Enterobacterales; Enterobacteriaceae. The record is from RNAcentral.